RNAcentral lists this ribosomal RNA (590 nucleotides) under uncultured marine bacterium. RNAcentral's name for it is "bacterial SSU rRNA". It matches the Rfam family "Bacterial small subunit ribosomal RNA", at positions 61 to 696 of the family's 1533-position model. The record is from RNAcentral.
GUCGAACGAAGUAGCAAUACUUAGUGGCAGACGGGUGAGUAACAUGUAGGUAUCUUCCCUUUGGUGAGGAAUAACACGAGGAAACUUGUGCUAAUACCUCAUAAGUCUUUACGGAGAAAGCUUUAUGCGCCAAUGGAUGAGCCUGCACUUGAUUAGUUUGUUGGUAGGGUAAUGGCCUACCAAGACAAUGAUCAAUAGCUGAUUUGAGAGGAUGAUCAGCCACAUUGGGACUGAGACACGGCCCAAACUCCUACGGGAGGCAGCAGUAGGGAAUCUUGCACAAUGGGGGAAACCCUGAUGCAGCGAUGCCGCGUGAGUGAAGAAGGCCUUUGGGUUGUAAAGCUCUUUCGUCGGGGAAGAAAAUGACUGUACCCGAAUAAGAAGGUCCGGCUAACUUCGUGCCAGCAGCCGCGGCAAUACGAAGGGACCUAGCGUAGUUCGGAAUUACUGGGCUUAAAGAGUUCGUAGGUGGUUAAAAAAGUUGGUGGUGAAAUCCCAGAGCUUAACUCUGGAACUGCCAUCAAAACUUUUUAGCUAGAGUGUGAUAGAGGAAAGCAGAAUUUCUAGUGUAGAGGUGAAAUUCGUAGAUA